GACGAACGCUGGCGGCGUGCUUAACACAUGCAAGUCGAACGGAAAGACCCUGCUUUUGUGGGGUGCUCGAGUGGCGAACGGGUGAGUAACACGUGAGUAACCUGCCCUUGACUUUGGGAUAACUUCAGGAAACUGGGGCUAAUACCGGAUAGGAGCUCCUGCUGCAUGGUGGGGGUUGGAAAGUUUCGGCGGUUGGGGAUGGACUCGCGGCUUAUCAGCUUGUUGGUGGGGUAGUGGCUUACCAAGGCUUUGACGGGUAGCUGGCCUGAGAGGGUGACCGGCCACAUUGGGACUGAGAUACGGCCCAGACUCCUACGGGAGGCAGCAGUGGGGAAUAUUGCACAAUGGGCGGAAGCCUGAUGCAGCAACGCCGCGUGCGGGAUGACGGCCUUCGGGUUGUAAACCGCUUUCGCCUGUGACGAAGCGUGAGUGACGGUAAUGGGUAAAGAAGCACCGGCUAACUACGUG
Molecule: ribosomal RNA, 468 nt
Filed under: uncultured bacterium
Lineage: Bacteria
Description: partial 16S ribosomal RNA
Rfam family: Bacterial small subunit ribosomal RNA
Source: RNAcentral